UCUCUCUCUCUCUCUCUUUCUCUCUCUCUCUACCUUCCCUCCUAGGCUCCUACCUCCCUCUCUAUUCCUCUCUCCCUCAGCGAGCUGGGAUAUGAACGCUUUCCGCCGAGAACGCUCUCGAAAACCCUAAUCUCUAUCGAGAGAUUGGAAACCCUAAUUUAUUGCUCUCUCUCUCCCUCUCCGAUCUGGUGUUCUGUGAUACUAGGGCGAAAUCCCUGCUCGAUUCCGCCAUUGGAGCUCGCAAGGUCCGCCGGCCGGGUCUCCUGUCGCGUGGGAAAUGGAUGGGGGUGCGGGGACCUAUAAUUCGCGCACAGCGGAGGAGGUUUUCCGGGAUUUCAGAGGCCGGCGAGCUGGCAUGAUCAAAGCUCUCACCACUGAAGUUGACAAGUUCUAUCAGCACUGUGAUCCCGAAAAGGAGAACUUGUGUCUUUACGGACUCCCCAAUGAGACCUGGGAAGUAAAUUUGCCUGCUGAGGAAGUACCUCCAGAGCUUCCUGAGCCAGCAUUAGGAAUUAAUUUUGCCAGGGAUGGGAUGGAUGAAAAGGAUUGGCUGUCACUAGUUGCAGUUCACAGUGAUGCAUGGUUGCUGGCUGUUGCAUUCUAUUUUGGGGCUCGCUUUGGGUUUGACAAGGAGGCCAGGAGGCGACUUUUUAACAUGAUCAAUAAUCUCCCAACUAUAUAUGAGGUGGUGACUGGAACUGCUAAGAAGCAAUCAAAAGAAAAAACCCCUAACAGCAGCAGCAGGAGCAACAAAUCAAGCUCAAAGACGCAGUCACGGCAGGCAGAGUCAAAGGCCUUAAAAAUGCCUGCCCCAAAAGAGGAGGAAGAGAGUGGAGAGGAGGAUGAGGAAGAGGAGGAUGAGGAACGUGGAAACACUUUGUGCGGUGCAUGUGGAGACAACUAUGCGAAUGAUGAGUUUUGGAUAUGUUGCGAUGUUUGUGAGAGAUGGUUCCAUGGAAAGUGCGUCAGGAUCACACCUGCUAAGGCUGAGCACAUCAAGCAGUACAAAUGCCCGGCCUGCAGCAACAAAAGGGCUAGAGCAUGAAAGUGAACUGUUAUGGCUGAUGUAUUAGAACAGGGCUUCGGAAACAAGGGGGAAAACCAUUUUGGAUGCAACGAUCAAUGGACCUGCACGCCCAAGUCAGGCUUCCAGGUUUUAAACUUAGUGUAAUUAAUUUCUUUUUCAGUAUGUUACUGUUAACUAGUGGUGUCUCUCUGUGUAGAGUUCAUUUGUCAUGAGUAAUCCUUUUUGUGCUAGACAUGUCUUCUCUGAUAGAAUGCUUCGUUUGGCAGACUUCUACAUUGUUAGAAGAAACAGAAUUAGUUCUGCUGGAUGAAUCGUCUUCAGCCAUAUUAUGGCUCAUUACUUCUGGUCGAAUGGGUUCAAACAGGUCUUCAUCCAGUUAUUUGAUUUCAGUGCUCUUCUGUGCUGCUGGGCAUCUGAUCUGAGCCUACUAAUGCCAUUGUGCUUAGUGUUUUGCCAAAUACUUACAAUUCUAGAAGCAUGCCUGAGCUAUCCAGAUGACAUGACAUUCUAUGAUUCAAAUUUUGUAUCACCCUUUAUUCGUGGAAAGAAGAUUCAACUUGCUUUUGAUUUUGUCUAAGCAAUCCUGAUGAUUUUGGUUAUGUAAAUUAUUCGCUUUCAAAUAUGAAGGUUUGAUAUGCUCGAAAGCUUGCUCUGCUAUUGGAAAGCACUAAAAACCAGGAGGAUGGAAAUGAUCGAAGUAUAGUUUCUGCUUGGCAACAGCUUGGUGUUCAGACGAGGAGAUUUAGAGGAUGUCAAGAAAGCUUCUAUGUGGGGGAUCUACCAAGUUGCUUUCUCUAGGGGCAUCUUCACCUUUUUAAAAGGUCCUGUGCUCGAAAAGCUUUUGUAGAUUUCAGUUGCCUUAAUAACUUGAACAGAGGCCUACAAUCUAUAAGUAAGAGUGGUUGUGGUUCCCUCAAUGGUUUUUCUGCGGACUGUCUCAAGUAUUCUCUAUAUUAAUUACGUUGUAACAUUUAUAGAACCAUGCGAUAUUCAUUUUUAUGAGCUUUGUGAA
Phoenix dactylifera (date palm) is the source of this 2039-nucleotide non-coding RNA. NCBI's taxonomy places the organism in Eukaryota, Viridiplantae, Streptophyta, Magnoliopsida, Arecales, Arecaceae. The record is from RefSeq and is a predicted model, not a curated record.